Molecule: ribosomal RNA, 464 nt
Filed under: uncultured Klebsiella sp.
Lineage: Bacteria; Pseudomonadati; Pseudomonadota; Gammaproteobacteria; Enterobacterales; Enterobacteriaceae
Description: bacterial SSU rRNA
Rfam family: Bacterial small subunit ribosomal RNA
Source: RNAcentral
CCUACGGGUGGCAGCAGUGGGGAAUAUUGCACAAUGGGCGCAAGCCUGAUGCAGCCAUGCCGCGUGUGUGAAGAGGGCCUUCGGGUUGUAAAGCACUUUCGGCGGGGAGGAAGGCGGUGAGGUUAAUAACCUCAUCGAUUGACGUUACCCGCAGAAGAAGCACCGGCUAACUCCGUGCCAGCAGCCGCGGUAAUACGGAGGGUGCAAGCGUUAAUCGGAAUUACUGGGCGUAAAGCGCACGCAGGCGGUCUGUCAAGUCGGAUGUGAAAUCCCCGGGCUCAACCUGGGAACUGCAUUCGAAACUGGCAGGCUAGAGUCUUGUAGAGGGGGGUAGAAUUCCAGGUGUAGCGGUGAAAUGCGUAGAGAUCUGGAGGAAUACCGGUGGCGAAGGCAGCCCCUGGACAAAGACUGACGCUCAGGUGCGAAAGCGUGGGGAGCAAACAGGAUUAGAUACCCGUGUAGUC